GUGCAUGACACUUUCCCAAAGAGGACGUCAUUUGUUGCUCACAGUAGCCGAGGGAAGGCUGUCCCCUGGUGUUCCCUCAAUGAUCCAGGACACAGGUCCCGGCAGCUUGAUGAUUCAUUUCCCACUUUUACAAAUCUCCCAGGAGUGCUAAACCGGAAAGGCGGUGAGAAGAGCAACCUGGUCUCUUUCGUGGUUAGUGGGCACCAGCGAACGGAUGGACGAGGGAAUGAGCGAAUGAAUGAAUGCAUACAAGCUGCUGUGCAGUCUUUGCCUUUGCUGAGAAGCCGUGAGCCCUUGAAAGCAAAUCCAUCACCUCUAAAUUCCAGGCCUGUGGAGUAGAGAAAGAGAAAUAAGGAGCCCGUCGUCUGAAUGAGCUUCCCUGAAGAAUAUGGAAGACGGGCAGAUUGUACAAGUGGACAAAUAUAGCACUGGGAGACUAUGAACUUGUGGUCUAAAACUGCAUUUAAUUAUUGUGACAUUUUAGACUUUGUAGGAAAUAGCAGCACCGAAGUGUGACUUUCAAAUUAGCAUUUGGAAGUGUCUGUGAGGUAGGUGAGGGUUUUAAGAAACUGUGGGGUUUUGAGCCUAAAAUUAUAUGACAUUUAUUCGCAACCACAAAAUUAGGUUGAUCGGUUAUUGUUCACAUUUGUCAGUUGGGGAGAAGAAUGGCAAUUAGGUUCAUCCCCACUAUAUGCAGAUUCGCCACCCUCAUAUAUAUAUAUAUAUAUUUUAAAGGACAGGCACAUCUUGAGCGCUCUCUCCUCUGUGCCUUGACCUAUGGCUGUUGAUGAGGCCGAACCCGAAAUGCAAAAUCUGAAGGAAGAGCCAUUUCGCCUUGUUAUAGGACAACGUCAGUGAUGCUUCCUCAGCCCCUUAAUUCAUUUCUUAUAGUUUUUCUUGUCACAUCCAGUUGCUUUAUAGCUUACUAACUUGCAAGUUAUAGUUGUAAUUUAUGGUCAAAAUUGAGUGGUAGCAAAUCAAGGAAUAUUUCCAUUGAUUACCCUAAAUUGUCUAAUCUCCUGUAUGUUUUUAGAACUUGAUUGGGUGGUAUUUACUGAUUGCCUUCAUCUAAUUUAAAAAUCAAUCAAUAGCAACAAUGAGGGCUGGAGGAUAAAUUGAGUCUAAUGCAGCAAAUAUCCAUCAGCGGUCUCUGCACAAUCACAUCUGUGGGCGGUUUUAAUACAUAAACCCAAACGGCCUGGAGCUGGGCGUCCGGGAUAGAGGCUCUGGAAAUUCCUGCUGGCAUCUCGGGGCCUCUCGUAUUGUCUAUUUAGGGUGAUUGCCCUCUGCUAAAGCAAACAUAUUUCACUACAAUAAAGCUGUAGCCAAGGAGAUAAAAACAGGAUCUGAUUGCAUUUCAAGGCUGGCUAGUCCAUCUUCUCCCCCCACACCCUGUGAGGAUAUUAAUGGGAAUUAACAUAACUCCAGGCUUUCCUUGUUAACUGUCUGCACUAUCCCAGAGAGAAACAGUCACACACUCAAGCGUUAAUUCAUGCCUUUGACACCCAAGUGAAUCUGUUUUUAUAUCCAUCCAAGGCUUUCUGGGCGUUUGCUGAGCGCCACACAUGGACCAGGGCGUUUGG
RNAcentral lists this long non-coding RNA (1583 nucleotides) under Marmota monax (woodchuck). Lineage: Eukaryota; Metazoa; Chordata; Mammalia; Rodentia; Sciuridae. The record is from RNAcentral.